GCGCUCGUGGUGGAAUUGGCAGACAUACCAGAUUCAAAAUCUGAGGCCGCAAGGCAUGAGGGUUCGAUUCCCUCCGAGCGCACCA
RNAcentral lists this transfer RNA (85 nucleotides) under Massilia violaceinigra. RNAcentral describes it as "tRNA-Leu". It matches the Rfam family "tRNA". From Rfam's summary of the family: Transfer RNA (tRNA) molecules are approximately 80 nucleotides in length. Their secondary structure includes four short double-helical elements and three loops (D, anti-codon, and T loops). The record is from RNAcentral. Lineage: Bacteria; Pseudomonadati; Pseudomonadota; Betaproteobacteria; Burkholderiales; Oxalobacteraceae.